AACAUUUUCUUUAGGAAAAAUUAAAGGUAAUGCCUGCUCGAUGAAGAUUAAAUUGCCGCAGUAUAAUGACUGUGCUAAGGUAGCAUAAUAAUUUGUCUUUUAAAUGAAGACUGGAAUGAAAGGUUUCAUAGGGAGUUGCUAAUGAUUUUAAUAAUUUUUGAAUUUAAGAUUUAUUUUAAAAUUAGUAGAUGUUUCUAAGGGACGAGAAGACCCUGUGGAUCUUUAAUAAAUGUUUUAUUACUUAGAAUUAAAAAGUUUAGAAAAUUUUAUUUGAGCUGGGACGGCGGUUUUAUCAAAUAUUAAUUAGAUUAUUAAGAUCCUGUAUAAGGAAGGAAGAUUAAGUUACCCCAGGGAUAACAGCGUAAUAAUAUUGGAGAGUUCAUAUUGAUAAUAUUGUUUGCGACCUCGAUGUUGAAUUAAAAUUUCUCUUUGAAGCAGAAGUUAUAGAAAGUAAGUCUGUUCGACUUUUAAAAUUUUACGUGAUC
RNAcentral lists this ribosomal RNA (485 nucleotides) under Physocypria sp. X IK-2017. RNAcentral's name for it is "partial large subunit ribosomal RNA". It matches the Rfam family "Bacterial large subunit ribosomal RNA", at positions 1812 to 2605 of the family's 2925-position model. Lineage: Eukaryota; Metazoa; Arthropoda; Ostracoda; Podocopida; Cyclocyprididae. The record is from RNAcentral.